Small nucleolar RNA from Pecten maximus, 119 nucleotides. Lineage: Eukaryota; Metazoa; Mollusca; Bivalvia; Pectinida; Pectinidae. The record is from RefSeq and is a predicted model, not a curated record.
CACUGGCCCUAUCGAAGCUAUACUUCAUCUGUUCCGUGAUCAUGUGUAGUCAAAAUGAGGCCAAGAGCAACUUCUCUCAACGGUCGCCCACUGACAUGUGUUUUUUGGGCAUUACCAAU